RNAcentral lists this long non-coding RNA (5793 nucleotides) under Sus scrofa (pig). RNAcentral's name for it is "lncRNA (ENSSSCG00030044510.1)". The record is from RNAcentral. Lineage: Eukaryota; Metazoa; Chordata; Mammalia; Artiodactyla; Suidae.
GCAAGGGAUUUUUAUCUUGACCUAAUGUGGAUUGUUGCUGUGCUUUGCCUAAAAGUUGUGGUGUUUCCAGAUUGAAUGAGAUUAUAUAUUACCAUCAUUCAUGAAUACAAUUAUCAGCUGCAAUUAAUCCUGCUCCUUCUGAGCAGUAUUGGGUGCUAUUUUUUCCCUCCUUGUGGGUAUUUGUGUCACUCUUACUUUGUGAACUUUAACCAGAAUUACUGUAGAAUGGAGGGAAAGCAAGUGUGUAUUCAGAAUAAGGCUUUAUAUGACUGACUUUAGGUGGGUCUUUCUGAGAGCCUAGAAUGAAACAUUUCACUGAAAUGCACAUCACUUGGAGAGAAAACAACUUAAUCUUCAUCUACAGAUAUAUAUCACUAAAUUAUGGAAGAAGUGUAAUACUGGAUAUUUCCUGCUGAAUCAAAGCAUAUGAUUCAUUAAAUUAAAACAUCAGCUCCUUGCACGUGACUUUCUUGGGACCCAAAUGUAGGUCAAGGAAGAUAUAGAGAAUUAGUUCUAGGGUUCCAAGAUCUAUCAAAAACAUCAAAUGGUAGUUCUCAGGCAAUUCCCCUAUGCGUGUGAUCAAUACAAUUUUAGACCUUCCAAAUUCCAAACCAUUGCAUCAAUUAUUAAGCAAUUAAGCUCAUUUGGAACCCUGAGAACUACUGUCUCCAAAAAUGGACCAAGAACACAGAUGGGGUUCCAGUUCUAUAAUCUUACUCACCACCCUUAUCUCACCAUCACCUAGGCAGGAUUAACUGAAGCCCUGUUAGUUCCUUUCUUAGAGGAAGAGGGUAGAUUUGCAAGGCUUGGAGUGAAUAGGUUAGGACCAGGACCGCAGUGACUCAAUUUCAAUGUACCAGUGUUCUAUAAGCCUUACCUGGUCAAUUGCAAAAACAGAAUUAUUGCAAUUACAGCUUUCUCUCAAGGAUGCACUAUGGCAAGGGAAAGAAAAACGAAAAAACUAGCUGGCAGCUGCUUUAGUUAUUUCCCAUCUGCGCUUCGCUCUCAUAACUGCCUUUCACUCCAGCCAGCUACUUGUAUCUCUAGCUCCUAAGUUAAAGGCUUGGCUAGAUGCUGAAGCAGGUACAAAGAUGAAUGAGAGGGAUACUGAAAUUGAAAGAAAUGAAGCGACAUGGCUUCAGCUGCGAAAGAUAAUGACAGGACUGACUAAUGAGAGGUGUUCAGUUAUUUGUUCAGUUGAACAGCCCUUCAAACUUGGGGGAAAUUGCAAAGAACAAUUCUUUGUGUGGAACAGAUUUGGAAUGCUGAUCCAUAGUCCUACAACUUCAUUUUGUGGAUAUGGAAAAUAUGGUCCAGAUAGUGUGGAUUUGCCCAGAACUAAACUAAACCUAGGUCACCUGGUACAGGCCGGUACUGCUUUUCCAGUAUGAGGUAGGAUUCAUAUUCCAUAGGCCAGCUGACCUCUACUGCUAUUUGGCUCAGUCUCGGAGAAGACCUCCCAUUUGUGUUGAGGAAGGAAAUUCUGUCUUAAUUUAACUCCUAGUGACAUGAAACAGAAUUUAGGAUUUAAAUUGGGUGGCAGUAGGGUCUGACAAUAUGUAAAGUCUCCUCUGAUGCUAAGAUUUUAGCCACAAAAUCUAUCAAUGCCAGAGGUGAAAGCGAUUCAUACUAAGCACACAUAAACUGGGGCAACUAUUCCUCCCUUAUCAAGAAGAUAAAAUGUUCAAUUCUACCCAAUUGUCUUUCUUGAAAUGUUCUAUUUCUUGUUUUUUCUUUUAUUUUGGCCAAGUUUGAAGCUUGUGGAAGUUCCUGGGCUGGGGAUCAAACCUGCGCCCAACCCACUGUAGUGACAACACUGGAUCCUUAACCUGCUCUGCCACAAGGGAACUCCAAUUUUUUUUUUUUUUUUUGCUUUUUAGGGCUGCACCUCCUGGGAACCUCCACAUGCCAUGGGAGCGGCCCAAGAAAUAGCAAAAAAAAAAAAAAAAAAGGAAUGAUACUUGAGACCAGUCAGAAGACAAAUGCCAAGAAGACAAAAGUCCAUGGAAAGAAGCUACAAACAUAAAGCACAAAAAGUCAGAAGCUUUAUAGUAUCAUAAACACCAUACCUUGAACUGACUGGAUGACUCACUAUUGAUAAACUGGUUAAUAAAGACAAUACUAAUCUUUCAAAGUGACAACUGCACUUUCUAAUAAAAGAGAGAAACAUCUUCCCUGGGUCCACACACUGGUUUUAGGGUGAUGCUUUUCAAUAUAUACAAGUUAUGGUGUUACUCCUUCUGGACUGAACUAUCAUGUCUUCUUCCAAUGGUUCUCCCUAGGUUUGGAGCUCACUUGCUCUGAGCCAGGCCUAUUAUUUCUUCUGGGUCUGUAUUUUCCAUCAAGUAGUGUGCAUUUGUAAGAUGGCUGUGGAUAGAGGUAUAAUGAAGCCUGUGGUCAUCAAGUAAAGGGAUGUUAGGUGGAUAAAUAACCUUGGAAGUAUGGCCUUGGCUUAAGGAACACUCUCCUCAUUCAGAAUAUGUGGAAUAGUUAACCCAUAUAUAACACAAUUUCAGUUAUCAGAAAGGCUUGGGCAUUUCUUCUCCUUCCCUCACUUAUACCUCUCUAAAUGAGCACACAAAAUUCUGUCUGAAUGUUAUUCUGUUAGUGUAAGGCCUUAGUCUCUGGUACAGUCCUCCUAGAGCACACAUCAGAUUGUCACUAAUCAUUGUUAGCUUCAUAUAAUUGGAGCGUCUGAGACACUUUUUACAAAGGGAAGAGGAGGAACAACAAUGAGGGUCCUAGGCCUCUAGUGCAGAUGAAGGGCCUACAACACAGAUGCUAGGUGGGGAUAGACAGCCUACUUCGCAAUUUUGUCUCAAGUGAAACUGUCCUAGAGGCAAGUAACAAUGUUUAUCAGACAAAUGAACAGAUAAUGCUGAUCCCGUUCAUUGGGUUUAGGAAGUGAAAGCUGGUGUCAAAUUACUAGAUGCUACAGGGGACACAGAAGGAACAGAAGACAUUCUUGUAGACUUUUUAAAUUUUUAUUUUUAUUGGGGUAUAGUUUAUUUGCAAAGUUGUGUUAAUUUCAAGUGUACAGAAAAAUGAAUCAGUUAUGCAUAUAUCCAUUAUUUCUCAGAUUCUUGUCCCAUAUAUGUUAUUACUGAAUAUUGAGUAGAGUUCUCUGUGCUAUACAGUAGGUCCUUGUUGAUAAUGAUCAUCUAUUUUUAUUUUUAAAUAUAGUAGUGUAUAUCUGUUAAUCCCAAACUCCUAAUUUAUCCCUCCCCUCCACCCUUCCCCACUGAUAACCAUAAGUUUGUUUUCUAAGUGUGAGUCUGUUUCUGUUCUGUAAAUAAGUUCAUUUGUAUUAUUUUUUAAAGAUUCCACAUGUGUUAUCAUAUGAUAUUUGUCCUUCUCUCUCUGACUUACUUUUUUUUACUCCUAAGUAUUUUUAUUAGCAUUUUUUAAUAGUUAUUUCACCAAUACGUUUUUUUUUUCUAUUGUACAGCAUGGUGACCCAGUUACACAUACAUGUACACAUUCUAUUUUCACACAUUAUCAUGCUCCAUCAUAAGUGACUAGACAUAGUUCCCAGUGCGACACAGCAGAAUUUCAUUGCUAAUCCAUUCCAGAGGCAAUAGUUUGGAUCUAUUAACCCCAGACUCCCAGUCCAUCCCACUCCCUCCCCCUCUCCCUUGGCAACCACAAGUCUAUUCUCCAAGUCCAUGAUUUUCUUUUCUGUGGAAAGGUUUGUUUGUGCCAUAUAUCAGAUUCCAGAUAUAAGUGAUAUCAUAUGGUAUUUGUCUUUGUCUUUCUGACUUCACUCAGGAUGAGAGUCUCUAGUUCCAACCUUGUUGCUGCAAAUGGCAUUAUUUCAUUCUUUUUUGUGGCUGAACGGUAUUCCAUUGUGUAUAUGUAGCACACCUGCCUCAUGCAAUCAUGGGUCGAUGGACAUUUAGGUUGUUUCCAUGUCUUGGCUAUUAUGAAUAGAGUUGCAAUGAACAUGCGGGUGCAUGUGUCUCUGACGUACUUUUAAAGCUACAAUGAGCUUCAGGAUUACAAGAGAAAGUGACAGGGCUCUAAUGAGAGGCACUCAUGAUUGUUUGGUUUGAAUAGAUUUUCAGUUUGAGGACAAAUAUGAUGAAAAUAGUGUUUUUGUCUCUUUGUAAUAUUGUUUUUCUAUGUGUAACUUUUCAACACUGUGCUUUUAAUGGAGUAUUUCCCUCCGAGUAUGUGCAGAUCCUUACCCAUCCUUUUGCAGAAACCUCUGCCUGUUAUCUUAAAUAAACUUAGCCUUUUGAUACUAUAUCCUCCUUGGAAAGAACCCUUGCACAAUUCCUAAAUUCAUUUUUGAAAAAAUAACUGUACAUAAUAUUUUAAUCAUUUAGCUUUUGUCAGCAAGGGCUUUGUAUUACCUUGCAAAGUGAUUCUUAUCUUUUCUAUAGACAUAUUUUUGGUCUUGGUUUUGGUUUUUUCAAACUAUUUUAAGAGCAGGUGAGUCUCAAGAGUAAACAAUGAAUUGCAUAUUUGAAUGGAUUCCCUGAAAGUUAGGGAACAUUCUAUUAACCCAGAAAUGUCAGUCUGAAGUAGUGCAAAUAGACGUUUUCCCAAAAAUAGCACUUGGCACCUUGGAAGUGUGUGCAUUUCAGCCUAUUUUAUUACUUACCUAGGUGCAAGAGUUUUACUUUCAUUAUAGGAUAGAUUUUGACUCUUUUGCAUUCCUGAUAUGGGGGUAAUGGAUUGUGUAUUUUUAUUUUUGUUUUUUUACCUUUUUUUGGCUGCUCUGUGGCAUAUAGAGUUCCCCGGCCAGGAUCAGACAGGGCCACAGUUGCGAUCUAUACCGCAGCUGCAGCAGCACCGGAUCCUUAACCCAGUGUGCCUGGCCUGGGAUGGAACCUGUGUCCUGGCGUUUCAGAGGUGCUGCUGAUCCUGUUGCACCACAGCAGGAACUCCAGAUUGUAUAUAUAUUUAAGAUACAGUUUCGCUUUUUAUUUUUUUUUAACCACACUUUUAAUUUGCUAGUUAGAUCCACGAGGGAACUAUCUGUUGUCUUUUACAUCUUAAAGUUUAUAUUAGAAAGUUUAAUGAGAGAGAAAGAAUGUCACUGUGGUAAUUGGCCAUUUUCCCUGCCUUAUUAGCAUUCCAGAGCUAAGCUUCUUUAUAUAGCAAUGUUCAGCAAAAGCAGUUGUGCUGCUUCAUCUUUGAUUCACCUAUUCUUACAUUUUCAUAAAUGUUUUGAGGACCUUCACCAACUGGGCUUACCAAAGACUUGAGAGCUGCAGUUUGACAUUUGCUGCCUGGCAUGGGCCAGAGGAAGGGUGAACUAAAAAGAAAUUAACAAAAACAAUCAGAUAAUUCUGGAGAAUUCAGAAUUAAAAAGGGUUUAUGAUACUGGAUAAGACCUAGCUCCAAAGUGACUUUUGACCAUAGCAUUUUAAUUAUUUUUUUAAAAAAAACUCUCUCAAAUUAUUUACAACUCCAUAGUAGAGAGAAGUCAUCCUCCAGCUGAGAUGAGUGAGACAUAAGCAGGAGAGGGAGGUGGAAACCUGAAGGAAGAGUCUUGAAUGGGAGUUAGGGGUAAGAAAUUUACUUGAAAAUUACAACAUAUGGUUAAGGACUUGGGCUUUGUCUUCAAACCUUAGUUCUGCCCUUUACUAGUUGUGUAACUUUGGACAAUUUUCUUAAACUCUGUGAGCCUGCCUCUUCACAUGUAAAAGUGGUAUAAUAAUUCAGUUUCAUACUGUUCUUGUGAGACUCAAAAGAGAUGAUGUAUGUAAAGCAUUUUGUGAAGUGCCUGGCACAUAGUAAAUAUUCAAAAAUGGAGAAUGUGUCAAUAUUUAAUUAUCAGUGUUU